Molecule: ribosomal RNA, 429 nt
Filed under: Gemmatimonadota bacterium
Lineage: Bacteria; Pseudomonadati; Gemmatimonadota
Description: Gemmatimonadetes bacterium partial 16S ribosomal RNA
Rfam family: Bacterial small subunit ribosomal RNA
Source: RNAcentral
UAGGGAAUCUUCGGCAAUGGACGAAAGUCUGACCGAGCAACGCCGCGUGAGUGAAUAAGGUUUUCGGAUCGUAAAACUCUGUUGUUAGAGAAGAACAAGGACGUUAGUAACUGAACGUCCCCUGACGGUAUCUAACCAGAAAGCCACGGCUAACUACGUGCCAGCAGCCGCGGUAAUACGUAGGUGGCAAGCGUUGUCCGGAUUUAUUGGGCGUAAAGCGAGCGCAGGCGGUUUCUUAAGUCUGAUGUGAAAGCCCCCGGCUCAACCGGGGAGGGUCAUUGGAAACUGGGAGACUUGAGUGCAGAAGAGGAGAGUGGAAUUCCAUGUGUAGCGGUGAAAUGCGUAGAUAUAUGGAGGAACACCAGUAGCGAAGGCGGCUCUCUGGUCUGUAACUGACGCUGAGGCUCGAAAGCGUGGGGAGCAAACAGG